CACAGAUGAUAAAAAUUUUAAUUAGCAUGGAAAAAAAUUACCAUAAGCAAAGCCAAAAGGCAGGUGACAAAUUAGGGAAAAUUUUACUAUUAAAUUCCUAAGGAAGGGCCAAUAUUCCAAGCAUAGAUUCUCUAAAAAUUAAGAAAAAUAUCUGAUUUCAAACUAUACAAAGCUAUAGUAAUCAAACACACUGAUAUUGGCAUAAAAAUAAACACAUAGAUCAAUGGAACAGAAAAUAGAGCCCAGAAAUAAAACAUGAAUAUAUGGCCAAUUAAUUUACAACAAAGGAGCUAAGAAUAUAUAAGUGGGAAAGGGCAGUAUCUUCAAUACAUGGUGCUGGGAAAACUGGACAUGUAAAAGGAUAAAACUGGACCACUGUUUUAUACCAUACACAGAAAGUAAAUUUAAAAUGGAUUAAAGACUUGGAACAUAAGAUUUGUAACUUUAGAACUCCUAGAAGAAAACAUAUGUGCUAAGCUCCUUGACAUAUAACUUGAUAAUGAUCAAAAGCAACAAAAGAAAACAUAAACAAGUGGAAAUACAUUAAACUACAAAGCUUCUGCACAGCAAAGGAAACCACCAAGAAAAUGAAAGGCAGCCUACAGCAUGGGAGAAAAUAUUUGCAAAUCGUAUUAUCUGAUAAGGAGUUAAAACUCCCAAAUAUAAAGAACUCAUACAACUCAAUAGUAAAACAGCAAACAAUCUGAUUUUAAAAAUAAGUAGAGGAGCUGAGCAGAUGUUUUUCCAGUGAAGACAUGCAAAUGGCUAACAUUUAGCUGAAAAAGGUGUUUGACAUCACUAUAAGGAAGAUGCAAAUCAAAACCACAAUGAGAUAUUGUAUCACACUAUUGGAAAGGCUAUUAACAAAAAGAUUGGAAAUAACAGGUGUGGUCAGGGUGUAGCAAAAAGGGAACCCUGGUGCACUGUUGAUGGGAAUGUAAAUUUGUGGGGCCACUAUGGAAAACAGUAUGGAGUUUCCUCAAAAAUCAUUUUUGGGUAUUAAUCCAAAGAAAAUGAAAACACUAGCUUGAGAAGACAUAUGAUAUGCAUCCCCAUGUUUAUAGCAGCGUUAUUUACAAUAGCCAAAGUAUGGAAACCACCUAAGUGAUAAAUGGAUAAAUAAAGUGUGACACACGCAUAUAGUCAUUAUUAUUCAGCCAUAAAAAAAUAAUGAAAAUUGUCAUUUGGAACAUGUGUGGACCUAGAGGGCAGUAUGCUAAAUGAAAUAAGUCAGACAUAGAAAGACAAGUACAACAUGAUCUCACUUAUACAAAGAAUCUAAAAUAAAUAAAUAGUUAAACCAAGUUCAUAGAUACAGAGAACAGAUCAGUGAUUGCCAGGAGAGGGUGAGGGAUGGCCAAAAUGAGUAAAAGGGAUCCAAAGGCAUAAACUUCCAGUUAUAAAAUAAUUAGGUCAGGGGAUGUACUGUACAGUAUGGUGACUAUAGUUAAUUACACUGUAUUGCAUAUUUGAGAGUUGCUAGGAGAACACAUCUUAAAAGUUCUAAUUGUAAGAAAAAUAGUUUUGUAACUAUGUGUGGUGACAGAUGUUAACUAGACUCAUUGGGGUGAUCAUUUCACAAUAUUUCACAAUACACACAAAUAUCAAAUCAAUACAUUGGACACCUGAAACUAAUAUAAUUUAUAUGUCAUUUAUACUUUAAUAAAAUAAUUUAAAUUUAAAUUUUUUAAUUAAAUAAAAUAAAACUAAGAAAAAUAAAGACAGAACUAAUGGAAAAAUGGAAAAAAAUAUAUGAAAAGCAAAUGGGGGAAAAUGUAAUUGAAAGUGAUUUCAGUCCUAGUAAGAGAAAUCCAAAAUAAUAACUUUGAGAUACCCCUAUUUACCUGUUAGAUUAGCAAGAAUUCAAAAACCUGACAGUGUAUACUGUUAGCAUGGCUCAAAGAAGACAGUCUCACUCAAUAUUGAGGAAAAUGUGAAAUGAUACAAACCCUGUGGAGAGAAAUUUGACAAUUUAUAAUUGCAACUGCAUUUAUCUUUUAUCUAAGAAUCCCAAAGACUCACUGGUAAAAAUACAUAUGAUUUGUAAUAACAAAAGACUGGAAACAAUCCACAUGUCUAAUGGCAGGGGACUGAGUAAUGCAUUACGGCAUAUGCACAAACAAUGGUACUGGGAAGUUAUAAAAAUAAGAAAAAAAUUGAUACAGUGAAAUAGAAUUAUUUCUUGCUGUAUUUUAAGUGAAAUAAGGAAGACACAAAGAAGAAUGUAUAAUGUGCUACCUUAGGAACAAGAAAGGAACACUCCUGAACUUAUAUUACAAAGCCGGCAUUACUCCAAUGCCAAAGCGAAAAGGACACUGCAAGAAAAGGAAACUGUAAGGCCAAUAACCCUGAUGAAUAUAGAUGCAAAAAUUCUCAACAAAAUAUUAGCAAAUUGAAAUCAAAAGCACAUGCAAAGGAUCAUGCACCAUGACCAAGUAGGGUUAAUCUCUGGGAUACAAGGAUGCUUCAACAACUGCAAAUGACAGGAUCAAACUGGAGGGCAUUAUUCUAAGUGAAAAAAGCCUGACAGAGAAAGAAAAAAAAACUGAAUGGUAUUGCUUUUUUGUGGAACCUGAAAAAAAAAAAAAAACUGAACACAUAGAAACAGAGAAUAGAAUAGUGAUUAUCAGUUAUAGGAUGAAUGAAGACUGAGUAGCUAAUAUAUAACGUGGUGACAUACGUCCUAUAACUGAAAGCCCCCACCAGAAGGAAAUACCGUAUUUCCCACAUCAUACUUCCAUAUUUGCCAGUAAAUUUUUUGUUAAAAAUGGGAGCUGAGAUGUUAUUUGGUUAAUUCAAAGAAAAUAAAAUGCCCUCCCCAAAUGGGAAGAUUUCUCCUCAAUAGAGUUUGGAAAGCAUUCUCUUAUUCAUAAAAACAUUUCUUGAAAUAGAAAAUAUUCACUUAUUUAAAUUUGAAGUGAAUCACCCAUAGGGAGGAAAAACUUACUAUUUUUUUUCAAUAACUUUCUACAACAUGAAUACAACAAUAUUCUGCCUUAAUUUAAAACUGGCACAAAUUCUUAAAGUAUAUCAUGAUUUCUUUCCAGCUUUGCCUCCAUGGAAACAGAAAUAUAGACUCUACACCAACCUGUCCCUUAUUUGCUGCAGAGCUUAUCAUACUUGCAUAAUAAAUGUGAAAG
Molecule: long non-coding RNA, 3140 nt
Filed under: Sus scrofa (pig)
Lineage: Eukaryota; Metazoa; Chordata; Mammalia; Artiodactyla; Suidae
Also listed under: 1 other name
Description: lncRNA (ENSSSCG00000061220.1)
Source: RNAcentral